RNAcentral lists this ribosomal RNA (356 nucleotides) under uncultured bacterium. RNAcentral's name for it is "bacterial SSU rRNA". It matches the Rfam family "Bacterial small subunit ribosomal RNA", at positions 30 to 381 of the family's 1533-position model. The record is from RNAcentral.
AUUGAACGCUGGCGGCAGGCCUAACACAUGCAAGUCGAGCGGUAGAGAGGUGCUUGCAUCUCUUGAGAGCGGCGGACGGGUGAGGUAAUGCCUAGGAAUCUGCCUAGUGGUGGGGGAUAACGUUCGGAAACGGACGCUAAUACCGCAUACGUCCUACGGGAGAAAGCGGGGGAUCUUCGGACCUCGCGCCAUUAGAUGAGCCUAGGUCGGAUUAGCUAGUUGGUGAGGUAAAUGGGCUCACCAAGGCGACGAUCCGUAACUGGUCUGAGAGGAUGAUCAGUCACACUGGAACUGAGACACGGUCCAGACUCCUACGGGAGGCAGCAGUGGGGGAAUAGUUGGACAAUGGGCGAAAG